Molecule: ribosomal RNA, 265 nt
Filed under: uncultured bacterium
Lineage: Bacteria
Description: partial 16S ribosomal RNA
Rfam family: Bacterial small subunit ribosomal RNA
Source: RNAcentral
AGAGUUUGAUCAUGGCUCAGGAUAAACGCUGGCGGCGCACAUAAGACAUGCAAGUCGAACGGACAGAGUCCGAAUGUUUCAUUUGGAGGAUGUUAGUGGCGGACUGGUGAGUAACGCGUAAGGAACCUGCCUAUUAGAGGGGAAUAACAGUGAGAAAUCAUUGCUAAUACCGCAUAUACCAUAAUAGUUGCAUGACUGAAAUGGGAAAGGAGAAAUCCGCUAAUAGAUGGCCUUGCGUCUGAUUAGGUAGUUGGUGGGGUAAAGG